This 76-nucleotide transfer RNA is filed under the name Tissierella creatinini. RNAcentral's name for it is "tRNA-Val". It matches the Rfam family "tRNA". From Rfam's summary of the family: Transfer RNA (tRNA) molecules are approximately 80 nucleotides in length. RNAcentral also lists the same sequence under 1 other name. Lineage: Bacteria; Bacillati; Bacillota; Tissierellia; Tissierellales; Tissierellaceae. The record is from RNAcentral.
GGGCGGUUAGCUCAGUUGGGAGAGCACCACGUCGACAACGUGGGGGUCGUUGGUUCGAGCCCAAUAUCGCCCACCA